This 405-nucleotide ribosomal RNA is filed under the name uncultured bacterium. RNAcentral's name for it is "bacterial SSU rRNA". It matches the Rfam family "Bacterial small subunit ribosomal RNA", at positions 356 to 773 of the family's 1533-position model. The record is from RNAcentral.
GGGGAAUAUUGCACAAUGGGCGAAAGCCUGAUGCAGCAACGCCGCGUGAGGGAUGACGGCCUUCGGGUUGUAAACCUCUUUUAGUAGGGAAGAAGCGCAAGUGACGGUACCUGCAGAAAAAGCACCGGCUAACUACGUGCCAGCAGCCGCGGUAAUACGUAGGGUGCAAGCGUUGUCCGGAAUUAUUGGGCGUAAAGAGCUCGUAGGCGGCUUGUCGCGUCUGCUGUGAAAUCCCGGGGCUCAACCCCGGGCCUGCAGUGGGUACGGGCAAGCUAGAGUGCGGUAGGGGAGAUUGGAAUUCCUGGUGUAGCGGUGGAAUGCGCAGAUAUCAGGAGGAACACCAAUGGCGAAGGCAGAUCUCUGGGCCGCUACUGACGCUGAGGAGCGAAAGCAUGGGGAGCGAAC